Molecule: ribosomal RNA, 139 nt
Filed under: uncultured eukaryote
Lineage: Eukaryota
Description: partial 18S ribosomal RNA
Rfam family: Eukaryotic small subunit ribosomal RNA
Source: RNAcentral
UGGUGGAGUGAUUUGUCUGGUUAAUUCCGUUAACGAACGAGACCUUUAUCUGCUAAAUAGCUAAGCGUAUCUUCGGAUAUUCUUUAGCUUCUUAGAGAGACUUUAUGGGUCUACCAUAAGGAAGUUAGAGGCAAUAACA